This 200-nucleotide ribosomal RNA is filed under the name Klebsiella oxytoca. RNAcentral describes it as "partial 23S ribosomal RNA". It matches the Rfam family "Bacterial large subunit ribosomal RNA", at positions 2108 to 2307 of the family's 2925-position model. The record is from RNAcentral. Lineage: Bacteria; Pseudomonadati; Pseudomonadota; Gammaproteobacteria; Enterobacterales; Enterobacteriaceae.
AGCUUGACACUGAACACUGGUCCUUGAUGUGUAGGAUAGGUGGGAGGCUUUGAAGUGUGGACGCCGGUCUGCGUGGAGCCAUCCUUGAAAUACCACCCUUUAAUGGCUGGUGUUCUAACGUGGGCCCCUAAUCGGGGUUGCGGACAGUGUCUGGUGGGUAGUUUGACUGGGGCGGUCUCCUCCUAAAGAGUAACGGAGGA